RNAcentral lists this transfer RNA (42 nucleotides) under Gonystylus macrophyllus. RNAcentral describes it as "partial tRNA-Leu (UAA)". The record is from RNAcentral. Lineage: Eukaryota; Viridiplantae; Streptophyta; Magnoliopsida; Malvales; Thymelaeaceae.
AAAAUCCGUCGACUUAAAAAAUCGUGAGGGUUCAAGUCCCUC